GUAAGUUGGUGCCUUGGCUUUGGCUGACUUGGGGGGAAUGCCUUAACUUUACCCCCCUUCCCUGAUACUGGAGAGGGCACACCAGUAAGAUGCAGAGUGGAGUGGAGGAGAGGUGAGCUGUCAUGCUGCAUUUCUCUACUUCUCCUCUGUCACCCCCAUCAUCUCUGCAGACCCCUCUGCUUGGCCUCAGCAUCCACAGCAGGCUUGAGCCACAAUGGGCAGGGCUGUCCUGCCUUGUACUUCUCAGGGCCCGUUUCCCCUCUCAGGGGUCCAGAGGGCAAAAGGGAUGGGGGAUGAACACCUGGGUUCUGAGGGGUUAGAAGGAGCCCCAGAACCAGAACUAGGCUUGCUCUCCAACUUACUCUUUUGGGGUUUUUGCCAUCUGCUAGCACAGCCUGUGGAGGGGGAGGAGGUGGUUCCUACAGGGGCCUUGUAGGCUGGUGAGAGGCCCUUUGCUCUUUAGUAGGUUUCCCCCAGCCAUCCAGCAAGAUGUAAGUAGAAAGGUCAGGGCUUACCUUCCUCCUGGGGCCUUUUGCUUUGAAGCCUAGGGUUGGUAACUGGAUAUUUCUAGAAGUGGCAGGACCAUAACCCAGGAAUCUGAGUUUGCCCUCAGCAGGAGCUUCUCUUCCUCCCUGAGCACCCUCAGUUGGCCACUGUCUCAAGGGAGCUGAGACCAGGAGGGUGCUGGGCACUCCCCUUCCUCUUUUCCAGGGUCCUCUGGAGCCCCCCGUUUCAAGGGGUUGGGGGCCCAUAGGCUUCCAGGGAAUGCUGUCCAGCCUGUAGGAAACCAAAGAUGGGAAGUGGCUCCUAGGGGAUUAACUCUCCUCUCUCCUUCCUGAUGCCACACAUACUCUACUUUCAUCUCCAGGGCCCUACCAAUCUGUUUACAUACUUAUUAUCCUAAUGCUCCCCCUCCCCAACAGGGUUGAGGGCCAGGGGAGGGCCAGAGUUCUACCCCAAUUGGUUCGUUGUGUGCUGCUUGUUCUAGAUCCUCCUGGGGAUGGGGAAGGGGCUAGGCCCAUUGUACCAGGCCUCCCCACAAUGAGCUCCAGGCUCCGGCCCCUGACCCUCCCUCUCCCUGUGGCUAGUGAGGUUCUCCUGUAAACCCACUCCUUGCUUUGUCUUCCCAGAUAUGGAUUUCAGUUAAGAAUUUUGUAACCUGUUACACUGUGUGUUCUUGUGUAAAUAAACUUUUUGUUUCUGGC
RNAcentral lists this long non-coding RNA (1205 nucleotides) under Marmota monax (woodchuck). Lineage: Eukaryota; Metazoa; Chordata; Mammalia; Rodentia; Sciuridae. The record is from RNAcentral.